This 465-nucleotide ribosomal RNA is filed under the name uncultured bacterium. Its description in RNAcentral is "partial 16S ribosomal RNA". It matches the Rfam family "Bacterial small subunit ribosomal RNA", at positions 338 to 795 of the family's 1533-position model. The record is from RNAcentral.
CCUACGGGAGGCAGCAGUAGGGAAUCUUCCACAAUGGGCGAAAGCCUGAUGGAGCAACGCCGCGUGGGUGAAGAAGGUCUUCUGAUCGUAAAACCCUGUUGUUAGAGAAGAAAGUGCGUGAGAGUAACUGUUCACGUUUCGACGGUAUCUAACCAGAAAGCCACGGCUAACUACGUGCCCGCAGCAGCGGUGAUACGUAGGUGGCAAGCGUUAUCCGGAUUGAUUGGGCGUAAAGGGAACGCAGGCGGUCUUUUAAGUCUGAUGUGAAAGCCUUCGGCUUAACCGGAGUAGUGCAUUGGAAACUGGGAGACUUGAGUGCAGAAGAGGAGAGUGGAAUGCGAGGUGUAGCGGUGAAAUGCGUAGAUAUAUGGAAGAACACCAGUGGCGAAGGCGGCACUCUGGUCUGUAACUGACGCUGAGGUUCGAAAGCGUGGGUAGCAAACAGGAUUAGAUACCCGAGUAGUC